CCUACGGGAGGCAGCAGUAGGGAAUCUUUCACAAUGGGCGAAAGCCUGAUGGAGCAACGCCGCGUGCAGGAUGAAGGCCUUCGGGUUGUAAACUGCUUUUAUAAGCGAGAAAUAUGAUGGUAACUUAUGAAUAAGGAUCGGCUAACUACGUGCCAGCAGCCGCGGUCAUACGUAGGAUCCGAGCAUUAUCCGGAGUGACUGGGUGUAAAGAGUGGCGUAGGUGGCAUAAUAAGUAGCUAGUGAAAUCUGGUGGCUCAACCAUUCAGACUAUUAGCUAAACUGUUAAGCUCGAGACCGUUAGGGGUAACUGGAAUGUCUAGUGUAGGAGUGAAAUCCGUAGAUAUUAGAAGGAACACCAAUAGCGUAGGCAGGUUGCUGGGACGGUUCUGACACUAAGGCACGAAAGCGUAGGGAGCAAACGGGAUUAGAUACCCCAGUAGUC
RNAcentral lists this ribosomal RNA (442 nucleotides) under uncultured bacterium. RNAcentral describes it as "partial 16S ribosomal RNA". It matches the Rfam family "Bacterial small subunit ribosomal RNA", at positions 338 to 795 of the family's 1533-position model. The record is from RNAcentral.